Molecule: long non-coding RNA, 1519 nt
Filed under: Monodelphis domestica (gray short-tailed opossum)
Lineage: Eukaryota; Metazoa; Chordata; Mammalia; Didelphimorphia; Didelphidae
Description: lncRNA (ENSMODG00000051303.1)
Source: RNAcentral
GCUAACUCAAGGAGCAAACUGAGAAAUGACCUGCUGACCUAUUGUUUGAUUGAAAGAGAAAGAGAAGAGAGGGGAGAGAGAGAAGGAGAGAGAAAAGGGGGAAGAAAGAGAGAGGGGGAGAAAGGGAGAGAGAGAGUGAGGGGAGAGAAAGGGGGACAGAGAGAGAGACAGAGAGAGAGAGACAGAAAGACAGAGAGAGAGAUCAAUUGAUCAAUUGAUUCAUCAGUCAAUCUUUGCAAGAGACAACACCAGAUAGUUACUAGGUGUCAUUUAUGUGCUGAGAUUACUGUGCUGGGUGUUUAGGAGGUAACUAUAGCAUGCAAGUCAGGCAGGGUCCCUGUCUAUAUGGCUCAGAACAGUCUCAUAGAGGAUUAUGACAACAAACACAGGUAAAGCCUCUGGGCUUUGUUAGGACAGGAAGCAGAGAGACCCUGUGGGUCCUCCUCCCUUACUCUUGUAGAAGGAGGCUGAGGGGCAGAGAUAGCUGAAAUCUCAUGGAAAAAAUCUUUUAGAAAUAGUGUAUGAAAGAGGGCAAACACAGAAUGGUUCUGGAAACUGUAGAAUCCUUAGCUCAGGCUGAGAAAUAGUAGAAAGUAGGAUUUUGAUGCCAAGUUAAAAUAGAGGGUAAGUUGAAAGAAUUGGCAAUCUAUCAAGAGUCUGUGAAGAUGAAAGCCAAGAUGAGCAGCUAGAGGAACAGUAGAAACCUCCAAGAAUAAAGAGUGAAGAAGGUUGGAGCUGGAACAUUAAAGAUCAUGUAUUCCAUCCCCACUCCCAGUUUUGCAACUAAAGGAAAUGAUGGGAACCAUGAGGAGAGGCAGCUUUGGAAUGUAAUGAGAGAGACUCCUUUUUCUAUAGUUCUUUAAAAUUUAUAAAGCACUUUCCUUACAAUAAUAUCAUGAGGUAAGUCUUUUAAAUUCAAUCCUAUUUUAUGGAUGAAGAAACUGAGACCUUGUAGAUGAAGGAACUCACCCAAAAUCAGUCAGCUAAUUAGUGGCAGACCCAGGACUCAAAUAGAGAACUCACCAGGGGUCAUCUCUUAGACCAAGAUUUUAUUUUAUGUUAAUGAGUUAAUGAAUCCCAGAAGUCACUAGAGUCUAUAAAAUGAGAAUGUUGAAUUAAAUUAGGUGUUCUGAUUCUUUUUUAUAUCAUAGGCACUCUUGUAAAGGACUAUGAACCUUUAGACCAGAGUAAGAAACUAGGUAGUGCAAUGGACAGUAUUCUAGACCUGGAGUCAGGAAGAUAUGAAUUCAGAUCCACCUUCAGAUACUUACUAGUUGCUUGACCCUGGACAAGUCAUUUAAUUGCUAUCUGCCUCAUUUUCCUCAACUGUAAAAUGAGGUUAAGAAUAGCACCUGCCUUCCAGAGUUGUUGUGAGGAUCAAAUGAGAUAAUAUUUAACUGCUUAGUGGCAGUUAAGAAGAAGAUUAUUUUCAAAUGCAUAGAAUUACCAAAGAAAUUAAUUUUGUUGAAAUGCAGUUGGAAAAAUAUUCUAAAAAUAAAAUAACUCACUCCCAAGUUAA